CUACGGAGGGUGCAAGCGUUAUCCGGAAUCAUUGGGUUUAAAGGGUCCGUAGGCGGACUAAUAAGUCAGGGGUGAAAUCCCACAGCUUAACUGUGGAACUGCCUUUGAUACUGUUAGUCUUGAGUUAUAUGGAAGUAGAUAGAAUGUGUAGUGUAGCGGUGAAAUGCUUAGAGAUUACACAGAAUACCGAUUGCGAAGGCAGUCUACUACAUAUAUACUGACGCUAAUGGACGAAAGCGUGGGGAGCGAACAGGAUUAGAAACCCUAGUAGUCC
Molecule: ribosomal RNA, 274 nt
Filed under: uncultured bacterium
Lineage: Bacteria
Description: partial 16S ribosomal RNA
Rfam family: Bacterial small subunit ribosomal RNA
Source: RNAcentral